UGAUCAACGAUGAAAGGGACAGUAGCUCUUUCAUAUGCUUAUUGUAGCGAGCUGGGGACGGUGGAAGCCCGGCAUAAGCGAAAGAGUGAAGAUCACCCUGGAGUUCCCACGCUGAAUUUGUGAGUAAGCGAUGGCGCGUCAUUCCCGUUACGAAUGUAAAGAGGGCUAUCAUACAUAGCCAAUAAGGGUGGUACCGCGAGGCCGUUCUCGUCCCUUUU
Molecule: non-coding RNA, 218 nt
Filed under: Anoxybacillus sp.
Lineage: Bacteria; Bacillati; Bacillota; Bacilli; Caryophanales; Anoxybacillaceae
Description: T-box sequence
Rfam family: T-box leader
About the family: Uncharged tRNA acts as the effector for transcription antitermination of genes in the T-box leader family. T-boxes are found upstream of many aminoacyl-tRNA synthetase genes and some amino acid biosynthetic genes usually in Gram-positive bacteria.
Source: RNAcentral